Long non-coding RNA from Cercocebus atys (sooty mangabey), 5322 nucleotides. RefSeq lists it as uncharacterized. The record is from RefSeq and is a predicted model, not a curated record. The transcript has 8 exons. NCBI's taxonomy places the organism in Eukaryota, Metazoa, Chordata, Mammalia, Primates, Cercopithecidae.
AAAAAAAAAAAAAGAAUGUCCUUGACCGCAGACCCUUCCGAAAGACAGCUAGAAGCCGGGAUCAAACACAAUCGCCAACCUGAUUUUUCAGCACACAUUUUUUGGCAAUCUGUGUGUGUGUGUGUAUGAGAUGGAGAGAGGGUGGAGGACGAGGGAGCGUUGGUCUCAGGCUUUUCAGAAAGGAGGUGGAUCUGAGGAGUCCUUUUCUCUUCUAAUUAUUUCUGGAUGGCUGCUGCGUUCUCUCCCUCCUAUCUUACCGGCCUCGUGCAAAGUGUCUAUAAUCGAUAGCGGCUCAGGCUGAGAGCUCUUGGAAGGAGCCAGCAGAGCCACUUUAGCUGCCAGGCAGGAUGGAGUCUGAGGUAUUGGGCAGACACCCAGGCUGGGGAAGUGGGCAGCCUGCCGCACCCCACGGCUGCUCCCGCCCCAUCCCAUCGCAUGCUUGCUUGUUUUGCCCGGAUCUUGAAGACACAAAGGAAUGAACCAGCAGCAACUCCAGGGCCUCCAUGGACCUUGCCGUGCCCCUGCACGGUGUCUCAUUUAGUUUCCCAACAACCCUGAAGGGUGGAUUUUAUCCUCCUCCUCGUGAAAAGCAUGGGUGAGGCACUGUCCUGAGGACAGAGCUGGGGUUUGCCAUCUCCUGACUGCAGUGGCAGAGGUGGGAGCUCUGCCUGCAGGCAACACAGGGGAAGGCCACAGGGGCCCUGGGCUCCCAUGUGCUGAGUGCCACGUGUGGCUUGUGAAGUCUAACGUUGCACCUGCUACGCUUCCAAAGAUGAGGUUGUUGUGUGACAAGAUCUCACCCUUGUGGGUUGAGGCUGCAGCCCCCUAGUGCCUGCUGCUUACCCUGCUCCUUUUGGGGCAAAAGGGGUGGGAAUUACGUCAGUCAGUUUUAUAUCAUUUUCUCCAAAACCAGUUUUGUGACCCUGACCACUGUGACUUUAAAGAGGGAUUGGUGCCUGAGCCAACAAGAGCCUUCCACAGCAGCCUGGGGAACAGCCAUAACCAACCUGGCCAGACUGCGCUCAGAAGGCUGCAGAGAACCAAGCUUGGCUGCAAGAGCAGGCACCAGCUCCUACAGAGGGCUGCUGAGAUUUUUCAGUAAAAGCCUUGGCCGAAUGUGCCUGGUGUACUCUGAAAUAGCCAAACUAUAAUACGGGUCCUCUUUCUUCACAGCGAAACACAAUACUCGUAUCAGCCUAGUUAAUCAUGAGAAAUUAGCAAGCGAAUGAAGUCAGGACAGCAGAGAGACGAGCUCUGAGGCGGAAGAGAGGGAGACUGGAAGGAUCAGCAGACAGAGCUGCCCCCGUGCUUGCCCCUGGGGGACUUCCCCAACUCCACUCCGGUCAUGUCCUCAGACCUGGGACAUGCGACAGAGAGCCUCUCCGCCCUGCGUGUGCUGGGGGCCCAGUCAGGAGGGGCUCAGGUCUGCAGAGGCCGUCUCUCACCCAGCCCCUGUUUCGUUCGGCGUUGCGGGCUCAGGCCGCUGCCUCUGUCACAGACCUGCACACAGAACCCCAGCUGGCUUUGAGAGGACUCCAGGUGUCUCCGCCGUGUCUACACCUGGUUUGUGUUAUCUACCCAGAACGCAAGAUUAUUUAAUUAGGAAAAGUUCCCCAAAGUUCCUUGACGGCUAUUGCUUCCUGUAUCAUUUUAUUCCACGUUGACUAUUACCAUCAGCGUACGGCAAUAUAUGUAGCACGCUCUCUCACGCACUAGUAACAACCUGGAUUAUUCAUCUUUUAAACUUUGAUCGCCGAAGGGAAACAAAGCCUCUCCUUUCUCCCUCAUCACUUGGAUCCGUGGCGCAGCGGGACAGCGCUCCCCGCUCUGUGCGCCAUCUUUAUUUCCUCCUCUGGGAAUUAUUUGUUCCAAGCAGGAGGCUCAGCAGUGAGUGGGGGCUGAAUGGAGACCUGCAUUCCAGGCCUGGUGUCCUAGGUGACGAGGCCUCCAGCCAGAGCAUUUCUCCUUCCUCACAGCCCAGAUGCCCUUGAAGCCAAGGUCACGUCCCUGAAUCUUCUGCCCAUCCUCGUUCCUCACCACUGGCUCCUGCGGGUGGUGCAGCGCCCACCUCCUUCUGUGCUCCUGCCCUGAAGCCUGUGUCCCUCCACACAGACAAGGCUAGAGCAUCUUCAGUGAAUCUAUCGCAGGCAACGUGACUGUUUCCUGAUGCCUAUGGUGUGGUCAAAUCCCUCCUUCCACCCCGGGCCUCUGGACUGGAAGGCUGUGGUCAUGCUGGUUCUUGCAGCCCUGAUCUCCCCUUGGGCUCCUGGUGCCACGUCGUGCCUGUCCAAGCCACUCAGCUUCAGGAGGAAGAGGUGUUUGCCCUGCUGGUUCCCUGCAAGAAUAUUCAGAGGCACUCUGCAGCCCACAGGGUAAGACCCAAACUCCAACAUGAUGCGUGAGCCCUUGAUGCCAGGUGCCGGAGCACCUUUGCUGCCUGUGUCUACUGAGCCUCUGCCCCUGCACCCAGCCACCUUCACACACACACUCCUGCUGUGCAGCACCUGCCUCUGGAAUUGAUGGAGGAGCCCUCCAGUGUGGAUCCUUGUGUGUGCGGGCUCAGGGAAGUCCAAGCUCAAGGCACCCUUGCUGAAUGACUCGCUCUCACCUUCCUCAGACCAAAAUCUACCUGAGUCUGAGUUCUCCAGAGAAACUGAGAGAGAGAGAGAGAGAGAGAGAGAGAGAGAUUGAUUUCAGGGAGUUAUUUCACUCCCUCGUGGGGCUGGGAGAUCUGAAGUCUGAAGACCAGCAGGCUGGAAACUCAGCUCUGCCCCCGUCUUUACCACUAAAUCUGCAGCGUCUAUUGCUGGCCAUACUCUCCCCACUCCAGACGCCUUUCGGCCUGCAUUGAGGAGAGAGGCACUGGCCCUGACUGGGGGCUUCCACGUGUGCAGGGGCCGCCCGCGGUGAGGUCUCCGCAGCAUGACGGGGCUGGAAGCCGGCAGCUUUGUUGUGGUUAUCUAUACAUCUUGUGUUUGGCAGCAGCCAGGCCUUUUCCCGAGCAGUCAAGCCCACAGCCUCCCCACCUCCCACGGCUGCUGGUGCCCAAGUUUGGGAGCCUCUCCAGGUUCUUCAGAGAGUAGAGCUUGAUUUCCAACAGCCCCCGUUUCCCCAGGUGCUUGGACUUCAGCCUUCAGCUCCACGCACCAUCUUUCAGAACUACGUUGGCAACUUUACCUGAUUUUUUUUUGUUUUUGUUUUUGUGUAUUUACAACAUUUUAUUCCUUUAGUUUUCAUUUUAGAGAGGAUUAGGAGAGAGAAGGAAUGAAACUGUGUGAGGCCCACCGUGUUUAACCAGAAGUCCCUGUUAUCUGCUUAAUGACACCUUUCUAGAAGAGGAAUUGCUGGGUCAAAAGCCGUGCGUAUUUCACGCGGCGAGUCACGUUAAACUGUCCACCGGAAAAGUGCACUGACUUUUUACCGGGAAGUAAGCCGGAAGAUUGCUUUUAUUUUAUAAAUGCUAUUUUUCUUUUGUAUGAUAAAAGAGACUUAUUUUUGAGGCAAAACAUGAUGACACCGGCAUAUUUUAAUUGGUAUACUUCAUCAUAGAGCAUCAGAAAAAUAAAAUCAGUGUGACGAGGCAGCAGCCCCAGAAGGCGGUCACUCACUGCAGCCAUUGCCGGCCUGUGCUUUGUGAGCUGGACGGUCCUCUGGCCUCGUUCCAGCCUCAGUCUGCCUAAAAGUGGAUAUUCCAGGCGGGAAAUGUGUCUAGCCUGACGGUGAAGACUGUCUGGAGGAUGGUUGGUUUUGAGGAGGGCAAUGAUUUUGCAGGAAGGUUUCACAAAAGCAGAAACAUGGUCAAAAUUUGUCCAAGGUGGAUUUCUGUUGUUGCUAAAUUUUCCUGGUGUGCCGGGCAGGACAAUGGUGGGACAGCGAACCUGGAAUAAGAAGAGACACUCAGACUUCCCAAAGUAGAUGAGAGAAACUUUGCUUUUUGCAAGGGAGGGGAAUGGAAGGCCCUGUUGCAAUUGUCUUGCUUCAGUUUUGUUCAGUGAGUGAAGCCAAGUUCGCCCAGGGCCAGCUGUGCUCGUGCAGACGUGUGUGCUGGGGUGGGGGUCGCCAUUACUAAUGGCGUAAGGCUGGUGGGGUACAGGCAGGAGCAAGUUAGAAAUGGAAACUCCGUGUCUUCCUUCUGGCAGCCGAUGGCACUGGCUUGCCAAGAAGGUGUGGGUGUCUGGAAAGCACCCAUGAGGACCAGUAGUCAGGGAGCCAGCAGGAGUGACGGCGAAGAGAGACUGUUGCUCAGGGUCUCCUGGGAUAGACUGAGUUGGGAACUAACUAGGUGGUCCCCGUUGCCAUGGAGACAACCUUCCCUGAAAGCGGUGGGGAAUGGCGGACAGUCCACAAGGGAGAUGCUGACUCAGGCUUCAGAUGGAAUUUCCUGGGAUCCCUCACUUCCAUUUUCCGCUCUUUUCUGAGUUCCGCUGUUUUCCCUAUUUCUCCUUUGUUUUCUGUUGCGUAUUCUCUCCUUCUGGGGAGAAAGUGUGGGAAGCCAGUGAAGAGGUCCUGCUCUGGGGAUGAGAAGCCAGGUUGAAGGAAGACUCGAGCACAGUGGACCUGGCAGGUGGGGUCUCCAGAGAGCCUGUGGCUGUGCAGAGCAGCCACCCCAGGGAUUCGUGCAGAAUUGAGUCUGAACACAUGGUCUUUCUGGUGCAUCUGGCUAGAUUGGGACUGUAUUGGUCUAUCUCCCUCAGCAGCCCUGGUCCAAGGAGCACGAUCAGAGAGAUAUAAGCCAGUCACUCCAAGUUGUCAUCUUUCUCUUCACCGUGCCUGGGAGAGGAAGGUAAUUGUUUUGCUUUGUUAGAAAAGAAAUACAAACCCAGCAGCCGAGAGAUUUCCCCAAUGGAUAGGCCUGUGUUUGGGAAGGAAGGUUAAAGCCAGUGGAUUUCUAGUUCACUUGUUUUCUCUAAUGAUACAUCAGAAGGGCCGCAGGGUCCAGUUAAUCCGUCCAGUGGCAUUUUUGAGAUGAGGUAGCAGGUGCUCCAGAACCAGAAAGACAGACUGUGGGUGGCCCCUCCGGAGGCUCACUGAGGGUUCUAUGCCACAGAUCUGUGUCCAGCAAGCAAAGGAGCUGGGGUCAGAGCUGGUGAAACACAGGACCAUUCCCUAUUCAGCCUGGCAGAUAUUUGCUGAGACCUAUAACAGAAAAGGUAUUUUACUGAGGUGUAUGAGGUGGGUCCCUUGGCAACUGCUGUGAUGCCUCCAUACUCCCAUCUGGGUCAGAGACUGAAAAGAACUCAAAGAUCGCCGAGAGCAGCAUUCUGGGCUGCCGUCCCAGCAAUUCAUCUACAGAGGUUUGCGGGGUGCCCACUCUGUGACAGA